This 438-nucleotide ribosomal RNA is filed under the name Chloroflexota bacterium. Its description in RNAcentral is "Chloroflexi bacterium partial 23S ribosomal RNA". It matches the Rfam family "Bacterial large subunit ribosomal RNA", at positions 2488 to 2925 of the family's 2925-position model. The record is from RNAcentral. Lineage: Bacteria; Bacillati; Chloroflexota.
CUUCCCAAGAGUCCACAUCGACGGAAGGGUUUGGCACCUCGAUGUCGGCUCGUCGCAUCCUGGGGCUGGAGUAGGUCCCAAGGGUUGGGCUGUUCGCCCAUUAAAGCGGUACGCGAGCUGGGUUCAGAACGUCGUGAGACAGUUCGGUCCCUAUCCACCAUGGGCGUUGGAGCUUUGAGAGGAGUCGUCUCUAGUACGAGAGGACCGAGACGAACGGACCUCUGGUGUAUCAGUCGUUCUGCCAAGAGCGCUGCUGAUUAGCCACGUCUGGAUGGGAUAACCGCUGAAAGCAUCUAAGCGGGAAGCCCACCUCAAGAUGAGAGCUCCCAUCUCCUAGAGAGAGUAAGAGCCGUGGGAGACCACCACGUUGAUAGGCGGAACGUGCAAGCACAGCAAUGUGUUCAGCGGAUCCGUACUAAUUGCUCGAGGUCUUGAUUU